CUUUUUGAUUUGUCGCAUAUGCGCGCAUAUGCGAGCGCAUAUGCGACCAGGCGGUGACCCCCCAUCGCAUAUUUGGGGGGUCGCAUAUUUUUGGGUUUAGCCGGAUCCGGGUCGGAUCCGGAUAAACCCGAUCCGUUAACCCUAUAAAAUAAAAAACUUUAAUAGAAUUGUAUUAUUCUAUUAAAACUUAAGGACCUAACUAAAAAUACCCAUUUAAAUAAAAAAUACUAAAAAGUAAAAACCCUAAAUCGUGAAAUCUAAAAUCGGGGGUGAAUCCUUGAAGUCGGCCACCUGAAGAGUGAAGACCUGACCGGAAAUCGGGACUAGCACUACGCCUGAAGUCUGACCGCCUAGCGCCGCGCCUGAAGUCGGAACCGCCUAGCGAGCCUUCCACUGCUGCGAGCCUUCCACUGCUGCGUUUUUCUACACAUAGUUAGGUGAUUUUCAGAGUGGUUUUAAAUUUUAAAUUCAUAAUCAGAUUAUGAAUAUAAAUUUAUAUCAAUGAAAUAUAAAUUUGAAGAUGACAUCGAUUAUAUUAGGAAUUUCAGAUUGGGAAUUUAAUCUGAAAUUAAAUCGGGAAUUGAGGAAUUCAGAGCUAACAUCUGAAUUUUUUCCCUUCAAUUUCACAUAUUAAUAUCUUGAACUAUUUUCUUAAAUUUCAGACUUAAGAACCAUGGAUGAUGGAGAAGAUGAGCCAAUGAAUGUUUUUGAUGAAAAUGUGGAAUUGGAUGACGAGGGAAAUAAGAAAUUCAAAUGGCAUCCAUUAACAACUGAAGAAGAAAAAACAAGCCCAUUGAUGAGACCAAAAUCAAAUGAUCCGGCUUGGAAAUAUGGGGUUAUGGUGAAUAAAGACUCAAACAAGGUGAAAUGUCUUUUCUGCCAUUUCAUUUCGAAAGCAGGGAUUGCUCGGUUGAAAGGGCAUAUCAUUGGAGGCGACCGCAAUUGUGUGAAGUGCCUAAAAUCAACUAAAUUUGUUCGUAAUGAAGUGCUUCAGUAUGAGAAUACGAGGAAGGCUAAAGCAAUGGCAGUGAAAAUGUCUAAGAAAGUUGUGGAAGAAGAAUCUAGUGAUGAUGAUGAUGAUGUAUUGAUAGUUGAAGAUAAUUCUGCACUUCCGAAGAGAGCAAAGAAGCGGUCAACUAUUGUGAAGCCGUCAAUAGGUUCAUCAUCAGGUUCGAACCGUUCGAUCAACGCGGCCGUAGGUGCAUUGUCCUUGAAAGAAGGACAGAAAUUAAGUGAUAUUGUGAGAUCUAGAAUGGGAGCAAAACAACCAUUAAUUGUUGAGCAGUUGAAAAAAGAGGAAAGGCUUAUUGUUGAUAUAUGUGUGGCGAAAUUCUUCUACAACGCCGGCAUCCCUUUCAAUGUACGAGAUUGUUUCGAUUUCCACGUUAUGUUGGAAGCUGUUGGAAGGUAUGGUUGGGGUUAUACACCUCCAACUAUCAGUAGAUUACGCAGCUCUCUUCUAGAAGGUGUGGUUACAGAAAUUGAUGAAAUGAAGAAAGACCACGAAAAAUGUUGGCGUCUAUCUGGUUGUUCACUCAUGUCUGAUGGCUGGACGGAUAAGAGGGGAAGAUCAAUUAUAAACUUUAUAGUGAAUUCAAUCAAGGGUUCAUUCUAUUUAUACUCUAUUGACGCUUCAGCGGAAACGAAGACUGCCGAUUACAUUGCAUCUACCUUAGACAAAGCGAUGCAAAGGAUAGGAGUCAAAAAUGUGGUUCAAAUUUGUACUGAUAAUGCGACCAACUACGUUAAAGCUGGGGAGAAACUAAUGGAGAAAUAUGAUCAUUUGUAUUGGACCCCUUGUGUCGCCCACUGUAUUGAUUUGAUGUUAGAAGACAUUGGGAAGAUUAGCUCUCUGAAGAAUGCUAUUGUGAUGGGUCGUAAGAUCACAAACUUCAUUUACAAUCAUUCACUGAUACAUUGCGAGUUUUUGAAAAAGUCCAACAACAGAGAGUUAGUCCGUUGUGGGGUUACUCGAUUUGCUACAUCAUUUCUCACCCUACAGAGCAUUAAGAAACAUCGAGAUGCCUUAAGUGCAUUAGAUUGGCGUAAAUGGAUUGAAGUUGGGAUUGGACAACAGAUUCACGGUCAUAUCUUCAACAGUAUUUUCUGGAAAAAUUUGGAUGAUUGUAUGGCAGCUUCUGAACCAUUGGUGAUAUUGUUGAGAUUGGUUGAUGAAGAUAGUAAACCAUCAAUGGCAGAGGUCAUUCCUCGUUUGGAAGUUGCAAGAAAAAGAAUUGAAACUCACUUCGCAAGUAAGCCGGUGUUGUUGACUAAGCUAAAGGCGAUUUUCACCAAGCGUUGGGACAAACAUUUUCAGAAGUCUUUGUUUGGAGCUGGUGCAUUUCUAAACCCCCAUUUUUACUACGAUUUGAAGGAGGGGUAAGCUUUUUAGCCUUUUUGUUUAAACUUAAAGGUUUCAACUUUCAACUUUCGAAGACUUAAUUGCUUACUUUUCAAAUAGAUCUAGAGAAGGGCUUAUGAAGGCACUAAGAUAUGAAAAAGAUUUCAGAAAUUGUAUGCUAAGAAUGACACCUCUUGAAGAGCAUUCAGAAAUCAUGGAACAACUAAUUUGUUACAAGAAUAGAACAGGUGAUUUCUCAAUGAAGGUGGCCAUCGACACGCUUCCAACAACGGAUCCUAGUAAGUGAUUUCAGAAUUUAAGAUUCAAUUAUUAAAAUCUUACUUAGGCAGUUAGGGCCUUAGGGGUGUCACUCACUAUGUUUGAUUUCAGUAAAUUGGUGGUCUAACUUCGGGGUGUCAACUCCGGAAUUGAUGAUGUUGGCAACGAGGAUCAUAAGUCUUACUACGACAGCUUCUAGUUGUGAGAGAAACUGGAGCACUUUCGAUUUUGUAAGUACUUGCGACUUUGAAUUCAAAAUCAAGUAUGCUUUUGACCUUCUGUGAUGUAAAUGAAAUUUCAAGUUAUUUUUUUUCAUCAGAUUCACACCAAAAGAAGAAAUCGUUUGGAAGUUGAUCGGUUGCACAAGUUGGUGUAUAUUAACUACAACGAACGUUUGAAAGAUCGAUUUCUGAAAAUAAAUCGAACAGACGAUAAGACCUAUGAUUCCAUUGCUAUAAGUGAUAUCAAUUACUCUAGUGAAUGGGUAACGGGUGUCGAUGGAGCAUCUGGUGAAUUUGUCUACGAAGAUGGUGGUUUGACAUGGACUAAUGUAUGGGAAGCUAGUGGUGUGCCCGAGCAUGAAGGACCAUCAACAAGAGCAAGAAGAAAUGACGAGCAUGAAGAUGAUGGUGAGUUCUUGAUGGAUCCGCACUUGAAUGACGUCGAAGAUGAACUUGACGACACACUAGUGUAGUUAGAACUUAGAACUAAGUGUUUGCAUUACACUUGUACUUUGAUGUUUGAAAGUUGAAACUAAUAGUUUUGUUGUUUUGUAUGUUUCUUUAAGUUUUUGUGAUUUUAAGAGUUUAAGUAUCAUUAGUUACUAUAUUAUUUCAUUUAUGAUUUUUAUUAUGACUUAUAAUAUCAGGGAUUUAUUUAAAAUAUGGAAAAUACAGGGGGUAUAUUGAAAAAAAAAUAAAAAAAAUACUAAAAAAAAAAAUUGCGCAUAUUGGACCGCAUAU
This 3582-nucleotide long non-coding RNA is filed under the name Zostera marina. Its description in RNAcentral is "long non-coding RNA (ZMAR_LNC001216)". The record is from RNAcentral. Lineage: Eukaryota; Viridiplantae; Streptophyta; Magnoliopsida; Alismatales; Zosteraceae.